AGUGAACGCUGGCGGUAGGCCUAACACAUGCAAGUCGAACGGCAGCACAGUAGAGCUUGCUCUUACGGGUGGCGAGUGGCGGACGGGUGAGGAAUACAUCGGAAUCUACUUUUUCGUGGGGGAUAACGUAGGGAAACUUACGCUAAUACCGCAUACGACCUACGGGUGAAAGCAGGGGAUCUUCGGACCUUGCGCGAUUGAAUGAGCCGAUGUCGGAUUAGCUAGUUGGCGGGGUAAAGGCCCACCAAGGCGACGAUCCGUAGCUGGUCUGAGAGGAUGAUCAGCCACACUGGAACUGAGACACGGUCCAGACUCCUACGGGAGGCAGCAGUGGGGAAUAUUGGACAAUGGGCGCAAGCCUGAUCCAGCCAUACCGCGUGGGUGAAGAAGGCCUUCGGGUUGUAAAGCCCUUUUGUUGGGGAAGAAAAGCAGCAGGUUAAUACCCCGCUGUUCUGACGGUACCCAAAGAAUAAGCACCGGCUAACUUCGUG
This 491-nucleotide ribosomal RNA is filed under the name uncultured bacterium. RNAcentral describes it as "partial 16S ribosomal RNA". It matches the Rfam family "Bacterial small subunit ribosomal RNA", at positions 29 to 507 of the family's 1533-position model. The record is from RNAcentral.